Thalassophryne amazonica is the source of this 118-nucleotide long non-coding RNA. RefSeq lists it as uncharacterized. NCBI's taxonomy places the organism in Eukaryota, Metazoa, Chordata, Actinopteri, Batrachoidiformes, Batrachoididae. The transcript has 3 exons. The record is from RefSeq and is a predicted model, not a curated record.
UGUAGGAUUUUCCCAAGAAUCAAAGCACUAAACAAAAUGAAUUCCAAUAAUAAAAGAAUAAAUUCCAAUAGUAAAAAGUACAUGAUAACAAUGAACAAAAGGCACAAAUUAAAGAACU